Molecule: ribosomal RNA, 193 nt
Filed under: uncultured bacterium
Lineage: Bacteria
Description: partial 16S ribosomal RNA
Rfam family: Bacterial small subunit ribosomal RNA
Source: RNAcentral
AACUCGAGUGCAUGAAGCUGGAAUCGCUAGUAAUCGCGGAUCAGAAUGCCGCGGUGAAUACGUUCCCGGGUCUUGUACACACCGCCCGUCACACCAUGGGAGUCGGAAAUGCCCGAAGUCUGUGACCCAACCAUUAAGGAGGGAGCAGCCGAAGGCAGGUCGGAUGACUGGGGUGAAGUCGUAACAAGGUAUC